GACGAACGCUGGCGGCGGGCUUAACACAUGCAAGUCGAACGAACGCCUUCGGGCGUUAGUGGCGCACGGGUGAGUAACACGUAGGCAAUCUACCCUCGGCUGGGGAAUAACCAGGGGAAACCCUGGCUAAUACCGCAUAACAUCUGGACGUCGCCUGGCGACCAGAUCAAAGCUUUAUGUGGCCGAGGAUGAGCCUGCGUCGGAUUAGCUAGUUGGUGGGGUAACGGCCUACCAAGGCGACGAUCCGUAGCGGGGUCUGAGAGGAUGAUCCGCCACACUGGCACUGAGACACGGGCCAGACUCCUACGGGAGGCAGCAGUGAGGAAUAUUGCGCAAUGGACGAAAGUCUGACGCAGCCACGCCGCGUGCAGGAAGACACCCCUCU
Molecule: ribosomal RNA, 385 nt
Filed under: uncultured bacterium
Lineage: Bacteria
Description: bacterial SSU rRNA
Rfam family: Bacterial small subunit ribosomal RNA
Source: RNAcentral